CACGUAGGGUGCGAGCGUUGUCCGGAAUUAUUGGGCGUAAAGGGCUCGUAGGCGGUCUGUCGCGUCGGGAGUGAAAACUUACAGCUAAACUGUGAGCGUGCUUCCGAUACGGGCAGACUUGAGGUAUUCAGGGGAGAACGGAAUUCCUGGUGUAGCGGUGAAAUGCGCAGAUAUCAGGAGGAACACCGGUGGCGAAGGCGGUUCUCUGGGAAUAUCCUGACGCUGAGGAGCGAAAGCGUGGGGAGCAAACAGG
RNAcentral lists this ribosomal RNA (253 nucleotides) under uncultured bacterium. RNAcentral describes it as "partial 16S ribosomal RNA". It matches the Rfam family "Bacterial small subunit ribosomal RNA", at positions 524 to 776 of the family's 1533-position model. The record is from RNAcentral.